AGAGUUUGAUCAUGGCUCAGGAUGAACGCUAGCUACAGGCUUAACACAUGCAAGUCGAGGGGCAGCAUGGACCCAGCUUUGCUGGGUUUGAUGGCGACCGGCGCACGGGUGAGUAACGCGUAUCCAACCUCGUCCCUUUACGUCCGGGAUAGUCUACCGUAGGAAAGGGUAGUUUAAUACCGGUAUUGUUGUUUGUUCCUUUCCGCGUAGUGGGAGACGAACAAAUAAAGUAAGUUAAGUUAGGUAAAGGAGUGGGUAU
This 259-nucleotide ribosomal RNA is filed under the name uncultured bacterium. RNAcentral describes it as "partial 16S ribosomal RNA". It matches the Rfam family "Bacterial small subunit ribosomal RNA", at positions 8 to 232 of the family's 1533-position model. The record is from RNAcentral.